AGAGUUUGAUCCUGGCUCAGGACGAACGCUGGCGGCGUGCUUAACACAUGCAAGUCGAACGAUGAUGCUUGGUGCUUGCACUGGGUGGAUUAGUGGCGAACGGGUGAGUAAUACGUGAGUAACCUGCCCCUGUCUUUGGGAUAAGCCUGGGAAACUGGGUCUAAUACCGGAUAGGACCCUCCUUUAGUGUGGGGGGUGGAAAGAUUUUUCGGUGUGGGAUGAGCCCGCGGCCUAUCAGCUUGUUGGUGGGGUAAUGGCCUACCAAGGCGUCGACGGGUAGCCGGCCUGAGAGGGUGGACGGCCACAUUGGGACUGAGAUACGGCCCAGACUCCUACGGGAGGCAGCAGUGGGGAAUAUUGCACAAUGGGCGGAAGCCUGAUGCAGCGACGCCGCGUGGGGGAUGACGGCCUUCGGGUUGUAAACCUCUUUCGACAGGGACGAAGCCUUGUAGGUGACGGUACCUGUAUAAGAAGCACCGGCUAACUACGUGCCAGCAGCCGCGGUAAUACGUAGGGUGCGAGCGUUGUCCGGAAUUACUGGGCGUAAAGAGCUCGUAGGUGGUUUGUCGCGUCGCCUGUGAAAUCCGGGGCUUACCUCGGGCGUGCGGGCGAUACGGGCAUACUUGAGUGCUGUAGGGGAGACUGGAAUUCCCGGUGGACGGGUGAAAUGGCCCAAAAUCCAGGAGGAACCCCGAUGG
RNAcentral lists this ribosomal RNA (698 nucleotides) under uncultured bacterium. RNAcentral describes it as "bacterial SSU rRNA". It matches the Rfam family "Bacterial small subunit ribosomal RNA", at positions 8 to 715 of the family's 1533-position model. The record is from RNAcentral.